AGGGAUUUAGCUCAGUGGUUCAAGCACUUGCUUGGUAAGCAUGAGUUUGUAAGUACAAUCCCUG
Molecule: transfer RNA, 64 nt
Filed under: Cavia porcellus (domestic guinea pig)
Lineage: Eukaryota; Metazoa; Chordata; Mammalia; Rodentia; Caviidae
Rfam family: tRNA
About the family: Transfer RNA (tRNA) molecules are approximately 80 nucleotides in length. Their secondary structure includes four short double-helical elements and three loops (D, anti-codon, and T loops). Further hydrogen bonds mediate the characteristic L-shaped molecular structure. tRNAs have two regions of fundamental functional importance: the anti-codon, which is responsible for specific mRNA codon recognition, and the 3' end, to which the tRNAs corresponding amino acid is attached (by aminoacyl-tRNA synthetases). tRNAs cope with the degeneracy of the genetic code in two manners: having more than one tRNA (with a specific anti-codon) for a particular amino acid; and 'wobble' base-pairing, i.e. permitting non-standard base-pairing at the 3rd anti-codon position.
Source: Rfam by way of RNAcentral